UACGGGGGGAGCAAGCGUUGUUCGGAUUUACUGGGCGUAAAGGGCGCGUAGGCGGCCAGCACAAGUCAGUUGUGAAAUCCCCGAGCUUAACUCGGAAAGGUCAACUGAUACUGUGCGGCUAGAGUGCGGAAGGGGCAACUGGAAUUCUUGGUGUAGCGGUGAAAUGCGUAGAUAUCAAGAGGAACACCUGCGGCGAAGGCGGGUUGCUGGGCCGACACUGACGCUGAGGCGCGAAAGCUAGGGGAGCGAACGGG
This 254-nucleotide ribosomal RNA is filed under the name uncultured bacterium. Its description in RNAcentral is "partial 16S ribosomal RNA". It matches the Rfam family "Bacterial small subunit ribosomal RNA", at positions 524 to 776 of the family's 1533-position model. The record is from RNAcentral.